AGAGCGAACGCUGGCGGCAGGCCUAAUACAUGCAAGUCGAACGGACCCUUCGGGGUUAGUGGCGGACGGGUGAGUAACACGUGGGAACGUGCCCUUUGGUUCGGAACAACUCAGGGAAACUUGAGCUAAUACCGAAUGUGCCCCCUCCUUUGAUUAGGGGGGUGGGAAAGAUUUAUCGCCAUUGGAGCGGCCCGCGUCUGAUUAGCUAGUUGGUGGGGUAAAGGCCCACCAAGGCUACGAUCAGUAGCUGGUCUGAGAGGAUGAUCAGCCACACUGGGACUGAGACACGGCCCAGACUCCUACGGGAGGCAGCAGUAGGGAAUCUUGCGCAAUGGGCGAAAGCCUGACGCAGCCAUGCCGCGUGAAUGAUGAAGGUCUUAGGAUUGUAAAUUCUUUCAGCGGGACGAUAAUGACGGUACCCGCAGAAGAACGCCCGGCUAACUCGCGCCAGCAGCCGC
This 458-nucleotide ribosomal RNA is filed under the name uncultured bacterium. RNAcentral's name for it is "SSU rRNA". It matches the Rfam family "Bacterial small subunit ribosomal RNA", at positions 26 to 518 of the family's 1533-position model. The record is from RNAcentral.